UGUUGAGCUGAAAAUCAUGCUAUUAUUUUGUUUUUGUUUAUGACUGAAUGAUGAUUUAAUUCAAUUUUGGGUAAAAAUUUUGAUCAAUAUAUUGAUUUUAUGAAUAAUAAAUCAUAUGUUUAUAUCAAGUUAGUAUACAGAAAAUUGACCAUUAUCAAUGUGCACCUUGCUAGAAAAUAUUUUUCAGCUGGUUUCUUAUAGUACAGCCAAAUGGCAGAAAAUAAUUUGUUUUCUCAGAAAAUAUUUCCCUUAGAAAACAUUUUGCACAAACAAGUUAUUUUAUGUGAAACAAAUGGAGCCUUAUUCUUCAAAUAGUUCGACAAAUCAAAUUAACCACUUUUUAUAUGGGCUCAAGUUUCUGAUUUUAGGAUACUUUUAUGCUGCCUUACUUGGACCUAAUAUCACAUUUUCUAAUGUUGCAACUCUUCAACAUGAAGGAAUUAACUUACUUUUGAUCUCUAAAUAAGGCUGCAAUGUGUAAAUUAUUUUCAGCAUGAAAUCUGCUUUUCAUGGCAACUCUUGUAUGUAGCAUGGAAACGGAAAGGGAGAAAUGGCAUUUUCUAAAAUUGUAGGAAACAGAAAUGUGGGGGAAACAUGUAAAUAUAAA
This 607-nucleotide unclassified non-coding RNA is filed under the name Hevea brasiliensis (rubber tree). Lineage: Eukaryota; Viridiplantae; Streptophyta; Magnoliopsida; Malpighiales; Euphorbiaceae. The record is from RNAcentral.